This 1057-nucleotide non-coding RNA is filed under the name Trichomonas vaginalis G3. Its description in RNAcentral is "Eukaryotic large subunit ribosomal RNA". It matches the Rfam family "Eukaryotic large subunit ribosomal RNA", at positions 1046 to 2304 of the family's 3401-position model. The record is from Rfam by way of RNAcentral. Lineage: Eukaryota; Parabasalia; Trichomonadida; Trichomonadidae.
CUCAACUUAUUUCCAAACUUCGAACCUCCUUGUUAGGCAUUUACCUAACUGGAAAUGCUUAAAUGAAUAGCGUACAAGUGGGCUCUGACCGGUAAGCGGUCAUGGCGAAAUGGGAUGAACCAUACGUCUGAAUAAGGUGCCGAAAUGUACUAUCACUGAUACCAUAAAGGGAGUCCAUGUAUUUAGACAGCAGGUCGGUGCCCCUAAAAGCAGGUAUCCGCUAAAGAGUGUGUUAAAACUCACCUGCCGAAUACUAGGGCCCCGAAAAUGAAUGGCGCAUAUAGUACUACCGAUCUCAGACAUCAGUUCUAUUGAACUGAGAGUAGGGGGAUGUGGACAUUUUUGUGAAGGUGCAAUGUGAGUUGGACUGGAAGAAUGUCUAUUACAGAUCCUAAUUGAAGUAGCGAUUAUCCAGGCUUGUAUCCUGGGGGCUGAUGAGGAGUAGGGUUUCUGGACAACUUAAACAGAUCCAGAGUUAGUCGAUCCUAAUCUCAAUAAUGGGAGAAAGGGAGUACAGUUGAUAUUCUGUAACUGACAACAGUUCGCGGCAACGCAUACUAUUUUUCUCCGCCAAUCUUAUACCGUUGGUAGGGAUCUCUUUCCUACAUGACAGUACUAAUACCCAGGGAAACUGGUCAUCAGGCGAACUGCGGCGUUCUGCUGGCAAAACAUAGCUUCGGUUAUGUCAAUGGCUAUUGGAUUGGUCCAUGAAGCGAAAAAUAGUUUACUGUGUCACUCGUACCGAUAACCGCAUCAGGUCUUCUAGGUAAGUAGCCUAUGGCCAUUGAGGCAUGAUAGUUCAGGGAAUUCGGCCAAUUAGAGCUGUAACUUCGGGAUAAAGCUUGGCUCUGAUGAAAAUCAGAACCGAUUGUUACGCGGAGAGCCCAACUGUUUAAUAAAAACGUAGUGUCGCGCUGUGGUAGUAUAGCCAGUGAACGCGACAUGAAUCCUGCUCAGUGCUGUGUCUGUUAAUAUGGUUCAAGCCAACGAAGCACCGGUAAAUAGCUGGGGUAACUAUGACUCUUAUCAAAGUAGCGAAAUACCUCGUCACUUAAUU